RNAcentral lists this ribosomal RNA (253 nucleotides) under uncultured bacterium. RNAcentral describes it as "partial 16S ribosomal RNA". It matches the Rfam family "Bacterial small subunit ribosomal RNA", at positions 524 to 776 of the family's 1533-position model. The record is from RNAcentral.
UACGGAGGGUGCAAGCGUUAAUCGGAAUUACUGGGCGUAAAGCGCACGUAGGUGGUUUGCUAAGUCAGCUGUGAAAUCCCCGGGCUCAACCUGGGCACUGCAGUUGAAACUGGCAAGCUAGAGUAGGGUAGAGGGGUGUGGAAUUCCAGGUGUAGCGGUGAAAUGCGUAGAUAUCUGGAGGAACAUCAGUGGCGAAGGCGACACCCUGGACUCAUACUGACACUGAGGUGCGAAAGCGUGGGGAGCGAACAGG